RNAcentral lists this unclassified non-coding RNA (305 nucleotides) under plant metagenome. Its description in RNAcentral is "partial contains 5.8S ribosomal RNA, internal transcribed spacer 2, and large subunit ribosomal RNA". The stretch from base 1 to 105 matches the Rfam family "5.8S ribosomal RNA", at positions 50 to 154 of the family's 154-position model. The record is from RNAcentral.
GAAAUGCGAUAAGUAGUGUGAAUUGCAGAAUUCAGUGAAUCAUCGAAUCUUUGAACGCACAUUGCGCCCUUUGGUAUUCCAAAGGGCAUGCCUGUUCGAGCGUCAUUUGUACCCUCAAGCUUUGCUUGGUGUUGGGCGUCUUGUCUCCAGUUCGCUGGAGACUCGCCUUAAAGUAAUUGGCAGCCGGCCUACUGGUUUCGGAGCGCAGCACAAGUCGCGCUCUCUUCCAGCCAAGGUCAGCAUCCACAAAGCCUUUUUUCAACUUUUGACCUCGGAUCAUGUAGGGAUACCCGCUGAACUUAAGC